Molecule: ribosomal RNA, 94 nt
Filed under: Fuscocephaloziopsis leucantha
Lineage: Eukaryota; Viridiplantae; Streptophyta; Jungermanniopsida; Jungermanniales; Cephaloziaceae
Description: partial 18S ribosomal RNA
Rfam family: Eukaryotic small subunit ribosomal RNA
Source: RNAcentral
GGUGACGUUGUGAGAAGUUCAUUAAACCUUAUCAUUUAGAGGAAGGAGAAGUCGUAACAAGGUUUCCGUAGGUGAACCUGCGGAAGGAUCAUUG